Molecule: ribosomal RNA, 182 nt
Filed under: uncultured bacterium
Lineage: Bacteria
Description: partial 16S ribosomal RNA
Rfam family: Bacterial small subunit ribosomal RNA
Source: RNAcentral
CAUGAAGCUGGAAUCGCUAGUAAUCGCAGGUCAGCAUACUGCGGUGAAUACGUUCCCGGGUCUUGUACACACCGCCCGUCACACCAUGGGAGCCGGAAAUGCCCGAAGCCAGUGACCCAACCUUAGGGAGGGAGCUGUCGAAGGUAGAGCCGGUAACUGGGGUGAAGUCGUAACAAGGUAUC